GUCACGAUAGCUUAGGUGGUAGAGUAGCGGCAUAUCGAGCCGAAGGUCGUGGGUUCGAAUCCCGCUCGUGACA
This 73-nucleotide transfer RNA is filed under the name Cimex lectularius (bed bug). It matches the Rfam family "tRNA". From Rfam's summary of the family: Transfer RNA (tRNA) molecules are approximately 80 nucleotides in length. Their secondary structure includes four short double-helical elements and three loops (D, anti-codon, and T loops). Lineage: Eukaryota; Metazoa; Arthropoda; Insecta; Hemiptera; Cimicidae. The record is from Rfam by way of RNAcentral.